RNAcentral lists this ribosomal RNA (433 nucleotides) under uncultured bacterium. Its description in RNAcentral is "partial 16S ribosomal RNA". It matches the Rfam family "Bacterial small subunit ribosomal RNA", at positions 29 to 507 of the family's 1533-position model. The record is from RNAcentral.
AGCGAACGCUGGCGGCAGGCUUAACACAUGCAAGUCGAACGCAUCCUUCGGGGUGAGUGGCAGACGGGUGAGUAACACGUGGGAACGUACCCUUCGAUCUGGGAUAACUUCGGGAAACUGGAGCUAAUACCGGAUACGCCCUUUUGGGGAAAGGUUUACUGUCGAAGGAUCGGCCCGCGUCUGAUUAGCUAGUUGGUGGGGUAACGGCCUACCAAGGCGACGAUCAGUAGCUGGUCUGAGAGGAUGAUCAGCCACACUGGGACUGAGACACGGCCCAGACUCCUACGGGAGGCAGCAGUGGGGAAUAUUGGACAAUGGGCGCAAGCCUGAUCCAGCCAUGCCGCGUGAGUGAUGAAGGCCUUAGGGUUGUAAAGCUCUUUUGUCCGGGACGAUAAUGACGGUACCGGAAGAAUAAGCCCCGGCUAACUUCGUG